AGCAGUGUGGUAUAGUGGUAUGAAGCAGGGCUCACAACCAAAAGGUUGCUGGUUCAAUUCUCUGCUUGGGCACUGCUG
Molecule: non-coding RNA, 78 nt
Organism: Megalops atlanticus (tarpon)
Lineage: Eukaryota; Metazoa; Chordata; Actinopteri; Elopiformes; Megalopidae
Source: the annotation of a GenBank genome assembly